AUUGAACGCUAGCGGGAUGCCUUACACAUGCAAGUCGAACGGAGUGGCGAACGGGUGGGUAAUGUAUCCGGACGUGCCCCGUAGCGGGGGAUAACUACGCGAAAGCGUAGCUAAUACCGCAUACUCUGGGAGCGGCCGAUAUCGGAUUAGCUAGUGGGUGGGGUAACGGCUCACCAAGGCGACGAUCCUUAGCUGGUUUGAGAGGACGACCAGCCACACUGGGACGGAGACACGGCCCAGACUCCACCGGGAGGCAGCAGUGGGGAAUUUUGGACAAUGGGGGAAACCCUGAUCCAGCCAUCCCGCGUGUGCGAUGAAGGCCUUCGGGUUGUAAAGCACUUUUGGCAGGAAAGAGGUACCUGCAGAAUAAGCACCGGCUAACUACGUGCCAGCAGCCGCGGUAAUAC
RNAcentral lists this ribosomal RNA (407 nucleotides) under uncultured bacterium. RNAcentral's name for it is "partial 16S ribosomal RNA". It matches the Rfam family "Bacterial small subunit ribosomal RNA", at positions 30 to 526 of the family's 1533-position model. The record is from RNAcentral.